GCGGAAGUGGCGGAAUUGGCAGACGCGCUAUCUUGAGGGGGUAGUGUCCAUCGUGACGUGCGGGUUCAAGUCCCGCCUUCCGCA
RNAcentral lists this transfer RNA (84 nucleotides) under Chlorobiota bacterium. RNAcentral's name for it is "tRNA-Leu". It matches the Rfam family "tRNA". From Rfam's summary of the family: Transfer RNA (tRNA) molecules are approximately 80 nucleotides in length. Their secondary structure includes four short double-helical elements and three loops (D, anti-codon, and T loops). Lineage: Bacteria; Pseudomonadati; Chlorobiota. The record is from RNAcentral.